RNAcentral lists this long non-coding RNA (1350 nucleotides) under Mus musculus (house mouse). RNAcentral's name for it is "RIKEN cDNA 9530026P05 gene". The record is from RNAcentral. Lineage: Eukaryota; Metazoa; Chordata; Mammalia; Rodentia; Muridae.
AAUCUCAAGGAAGCUCUUUGGGAGCCAGGAUUCCCAGCACUUAGCUGGUGGGCAAAGGGGUUCAACCCCUUCCCCACACCCCACCUUCCCUCCUCCCAGUCUUCGGGAUUGCGGAGCUCCUGCCGGGAUCCAAGAGCAGGCUCUUGGAGGUCGAAGAAGGAUAUAACCUCCAGACCUGGAAUUUAAGACGCAAGAACCAGCCAGCAAAAGUGGCAGCCGAGCAUGCGAUUGUGUCAUACACUGAAGGAGAACAUAGAGUUCUGAGUCCUCAAUAGACACAUGUCAAGUACUACCUUGGAAACUGGGAAGAAACAACUUUGGACUUGACUUUGGUUUUAGGACCUUAUCGUGUGGGCAGGGGACUGCUGAUGGCUUUUUAUUAGGAAGCUAUGCAACUUGAGGUUCUACUGAAAAGGAGAAGAGGCCACUGGAGAUGGGAAGCCACGAAAACGGACGAGAAACUACAGCAUUACUUCUGCAGAUUCACAAAGGAGUCCACGUUCCAAGAUGAGAGAAAUACCAGAAGCCGAUGGCUAUUCUACUUGACUGAAUGAAAAGAAAAGGAAGGCACUUCCUGUCAAUCCUGCUUUGGAUUCCUAGACAGUUUAAGAAGCACCAUUGAUCUGAUCAUUGGCACUGAGGAGGAAAUGCCCAUCCGCAGAAGACAUGCAGGGCUCAACCCAGCUUGACAUGGGCAGUGAGUGGUUUCUGAUGUAACCCUUUCUGUAAACUACCCCCUCACACACAUGUAAACCCCUGCUUCCUCCUUUAAGUAGCCACAUUGGUGGUGCCUCUGUUGUAAGGUUACAGGGGAGAAUGACUAGACAGUAGUGAGGAAAGCAUUUGGGAAGGUGAUUCGUUUCUGUUUUUCUGGUACUCUCCCAAAACAGGAGAUACUCUUGUUGCAUAGAUGCAGUCAGUGGUUUCUUGCAGUCAGUGGUUUCUUGGAUUUGGGGAGUUAAAAGUCAUGUGACACAGGCCUAUUGACACAUCGAUGUGAGGAGUUUAAGGUAAUGCUGCUGUGAUUGAGAAGAAUCGCCCCAGUAAAGCUUUAGCAUGAAGCCAAGCAGCUUAUAAUGACACAGGAUUCUCAAUGAAUGAAGUUUUAAGGGAUAAAAUCUUUACAAUGAAAUAAAAACAAUCUUAAGAAAACGAUUAGGCUCUAGUAAAAAUAAGCUGUGUUUUAAGAGUGGUUUCUAUAUUCAGCGUUAUUAUCCUUCACUUAUACUCAGAUAAAUAUGUUAUGCUCAAGCUGGCUCAUAGUCUUCAGAAAUAAGAAUGGACAUUAUACUUUGAUGUAAUAUCAACAUGUUGCAUAUACAAAGUAAACACUUUUGGUGAUAAAAAAUA